RNAcentral lists this ribosomal RNA (265 nucleotides) under uncultured Pyronemataceae. Its description in RNAcentral is "partial 28S ribosomal RNA". It matches the Rfam family "Eukaryotic large subunit ribosomal RNA", at positions 12 to 273 of the family's 3401-position model. The record is from RNAcentral. Lineage: Eukaryota; Fungi; Ascomycota; Pezizomycetes; Pezizales; Pyronemataceae.
CAGGUAGGGAUACCCGCUGAACUUAAGCAUAUCAAUAAGCGGAGGAAAAGAAACCAACAGGGAUUGCCUUAGUAACUGCGAGUGAAGCGGCAAAAGCUCAAAUUUGAAAUCUGGUACCUUCGGUGCCCGAAUUGUAAUUUGGAGGCAUAUCUUCGGAGCUGGUGCUGUCCUAAGUUCCUUGGAACAGGACGUCAUAGAGGGUGAGAAUCCCGUGCCUGGAUGGCUGACCAGCUCCAUGUGAAGUGUGUCCUACGAGUCGAGUUGU